CCUACGGGCGGCAGCAGUGAGGAAUAUUGGUCAAUGGCCGGAAGGCUGAACCAGCCAUGCCGCGUGAAGGUCAGUGCCCUAUGGGCGUUAAACUUCUUUUGUGCGGGAGCAAUAAUGGUCACGUGUGGCCAGACGAGAGUACCGUACGAAUAAGCAUCGGCUAACUCCGUGCCAGCAGCCGCGGUAAUACGGGGGAUGUAAGCGUUAUCCGGAGUUAUUGGGUUUAAAGGGUGCGUAGGCUGUGAGGUAAGUCAGCGGUGAAAUGCCCCCGCUCAACGGGGUGAAGUGCCAUUGAUACUGCCUGGCUGGAAUGCGGAUGCCGUGGGAGGAAUGUGUGGUGUAGCGGUGAAAUGCAUAGAUAUCACACAGAACACCGAUUGCGAAGGCAUCUCACGAAUCCGCGAUUGACGCUGAUGCACGAAAGCGUGGGUAUCAAACAGGAUUAGAUACCCCAGUAGUC
Molecule: ribosomal RNA, 460 nt
Filed under: uncultured bacterium
Lineage: Bacteria
Description: partial 16S ribosomal RNA
Rfam family: Bacterial small subunit ribosomal RNA
Source: RNAcentral